RNAcentral lists this ribosomal RNA (425 nucleotides) under uncultured Rhodocyclaceae bacterium. RNAcentral's name for it is "bacterial SSU rRNA". It matches the Rfam family "Bacterial small subunit ribosomal RNA", at positions 356 to 774 of the family's 1533-position model. Lineage: Bacteria; Pseudomonadati; Pseudomonadota; Betaproteobacteria; Rhodocyclales; Rhodocyclaceae. The record is from RNAcentral.
GGGGAAUUUUGGACAAUGGGCGCAAGCCUGAUCCAGCCAUGCCGCGUGAGUGAAGAAGGCCUUCGGGUUGUAAAGCUCUUUCGCAAGGGAAGAAAACGUGUGGGCUAAUAUCCUGCGCGGAUGACGGUCCCUUGACAAGAAGCACCGGCUAACUACGUGCCCGCAGCCGCGGUAAGACGUAGGGUGCGAGCGUUAAUCGGAAUUACUGGGCGUAAAGCGUGCGAGGCGGUUGUGUAAGACAGGUGUGAAAUCCCCGGGCUCAACCUGGGAACUGCGCUUGUGAUUGCAAGACUAGAGUACGGCAGAGGGAGGUGGAAUUCCACGUGUAGUAGUGAAAUGCGUAGAGAUGUGGAGGAACACCAAUGGCGAAGGCAGCCCCCUGGGUCGAUACUGACGCUCAGGCACGAAAGCGUGGGGAGCAAACA